Non-coding RNA from Sphaeroforma arctica JP610, 430 nucleotides. Lineage: Eukaryota; Ichthyosporea; Ichthyophonida. The record is from Rfam.
GUUACAAUGGCAACCACAAAUUUACGUAACAGUUACCGCUUGGAGCCACCCUCCUACACCCCUGCGGUGCAAAGUCUAUGCCCCUUGGGUAAUCCCCUCGGGAUGUAGCAUAAGAUCCCUCGGGAUCUACGAUACUAGGGGGGCCCAGGCACCCAAGCACAAGCUGAAACAAAUAAAGAAAAAAGUUGUCUCAGUCCGGAUUGAUCUCUGAAAUUCGAGUUCAUGAAGUUGGAAUCGAGAGUAAUCGUUUAAAAGAUCGUUACGGUGAAAUUGGCAAUGAUACGCGUACUAACCGCCCGUCAGUUCCGAAAAGUUUGUUUAUAUGAAGAUCGUGACUCCACUACCUCUCGCUUCUCGGCCUCCUGCCCCCCGACACUAUGUCGGGAGGAGAGGGUGUCGUAGCGUAGCGUACUCGUCACUCACCACCAUG